RNAcentral lists this ribosomal RNA (499 nucleotides) under uncultured bacterium. RNAcentral describes it as "partial 16S ribosomal RNA". It matches the Rfam family "Bacterial small subunit ribosomal RNA", at positions 29 to 523 of the family's 1533-position model. The record is from RNAcentral.
AUUGAACGCUGGCGGCAUGCCUACACAUGCAAGUCGAACGGCAGCACGGGAGCAAUCCUGGUGGCGAGUGGCGAACGGGUGAGUAAUAUAUCGGAACGUGCCCAGUCGUGGGGGAUAACGCAGCGAAAGCUGUGCUAAUACCGCAUACGAUCUAAGGAUGAAAGCGGGGGAUCGCAAGACCUCGCGCGAUUGGAGCGGCCGAUAGCAGAUUAGCUAGUUGGUGGGGUAAAGGCCCACCAAGGCGACGAUCUGUAGCUGGUCUGAGAGGACGACCAGCCACACUGGAACUGAGACACGGUCCAGACUCCUACGGGAGGCAGCAGUGGGGAAUUUUGGACAAUGGGCGCAAGCCUGAUCCAGCAAUGCCGCGUGCAGGAUGAAGGCCUUCGGGUUGUAAACUGCUUUUGUACGGAACGAAACGGCCCUUUCUAAUACAGGGGGCUAAUGACGGUACCGUAAGAAUAAGCACCGGCUAACUACGUGCCAGCCGCCGCGGUAA